UUUGCAUUUCUCCCUUGUUGCUUUUCUUUCAAAACUCAAUGCUUUUAACACUUCAAAACAUGAAAACAAGUGAAAAGACUUUAGAAAACAUAUGCAUUACCCUUCUCGAGGGUUCCGACACCCGAGAUUCCACCGGACUACAGGAAUUCCGAUGCCGGACUCGAGCCGGGUAUUACAUUCUCCCCCCCUUAAGAACAUUCGUCCCCGAAUGUCCCUAACACAACAUAAACACAUAGAAAAGGG
Molecule: long non-coding RNA, 243 nt
Filed under: Manihot esculenta (cassava)
Lineage: Eukaryota; Viridiplantae; Streptophyta; Magnoliopsida; Malpighiales; Euphorbiaceae
Description: long non-coding RNA (MESC_LNC005541)
Source: RNAcentral